UGGGGAAUCUUGGACAAUGGGCGCAAGCCUGAUCCAGCAAUGCCGCGUGUGUGAAGAAGGCCUGCGGGUUGUAAAGCACUUUCAGUGGGGAAGAUGAUGACGGUACCCACAGAAGAAGCACCGGCUAACUCGGUGCCAGCAGCCGCGGUAAUACGGAGGGUGCGAGCGUUAAUCGGAAUUACUGGGCGUAAAGCGCGCGUAGGUGGUUUUGUAAGUCGGAUGUGAAAGCCCAGGGCUUAACCUUGGAAUUGCAUUCGAUACUGCUUAACUAGAGUAUGGUAGAGGGAAGUGGAAUUUCCGGUGUAGCGGUGAAAUGCGUAGAUAUCGGAAGGAACACCAGUGGCGAAGGCGACUUCCUGGGCCAAUACUGACACUGAGGUGCGAAAGCGUGGGGAGCAAACAGGAUUAGAUACCCCUGUAGUCC
Molecule: ribosomal RNA, 424 nt
Filed under: uncultured prokaryote
Description: bacterial SSU rRNA
Rfam family: Bacterial small subunit ribosomal RNA
Source: RNAcentral